RNAcentral lists this ribosomal RNA (300 nucleotides) under uncultured Chloracidobacterium sp. Its description in RNAcentral is "bacterial SSU rRNA". It matches the Rfam family "Bacterial small subunit ribosomal RNA", at positions 114 to 411 of the family's 1533-position model. Lineage: Bacteria; Pseudomonadati; Acidobacteriota; Blastocatellia; Chloracidobacteriales; Chloracidobacteriaceae. The record is from RNAcentral.
CACGUAAGUAAUCUACCUCUGGGUGGGGAAUAACAGUCGGAAACGACUGCUAAUACCGCAUAAUGCAGCGGCUCGACAUCGAGACAGUUGUUAAAGCAUUUAUGCGCCUGGAGAGGAGCUUGCGGCAGAUUAGCUAGUUGGUAAGGUAAUGGCUUACCAAGGCGACGAUCUGUAGCCGACCUGAGAGGGUGGUCGGUCACACUGACACUGAAUAACGGGUCAGACUCCUACGGGAGGCAGCAGUCGGGAAUUUUGGGCAAUGGGCGAAAGCCUGACCCAGCAACGCCGCGUGAAGGAUGA